GCCCAGCUAGCUCAGUCAGUAGAGCAUGAGACUCUUAAUCUCAGCGUCGUGAGUUCACGUCCCACAUUGGGCA
This 73-nucleotide transfer RNA is filed under the name Nomascus leucogenys (northern white-cheeked gibbon). RNAcentral describes it as "tRNA-Lys (CTT) (tRNA-Lys-CTT-10-1)". It matches the Rfam family "tRNA". From Rfam's summary of the family: Transfer RNA (tRNA) molecules are approximately 80 nucleotides in length. Their secondary structure includes four short double-helical elements and three loops (D, anti-codon, and T loops). The record is from Rfam by way of RNAcentral. Lineage: Eukaryota; Metazoa; Chordata; Mammalia; Primates; Hylobatidae.